This 1479-nucleotide ribosomal RNA is filed under the name uncultured Bordetella sp. Its description in RNAcentral is "partial 16S-23S ribosomal RNA intergenic spacer". It matches the Rfam family "Bacterial small subunit ribosomal RNA". The record is from RNAcentral. Lineage: Bacteria; Pseudomonadati; Pseudomonadota; Betaproteobacteria; Burkholderiales; Alcaligenaceae.
GGUUUGAUCAUGGCUCAGAUUGAACGCUGGCGGGAUGGCUUACACAUGCAAGUCGACCAGCACGGACUUCGGUCUGGUGGCGAGUGGCGAACGGGUGAGUAAUGUAUCGGAACGUGCCUAGUAGCGGGGAUAACUACGCGAAAGCGUAGCUAAUACCGCAUACGCCCUUCGGGUAUGGGGACCUUCGGGCCUCGCACUAUUAGAGCGGCCGAUAUCGGAUUAGCUAGUUGGUGGGGUAACGGCUCACCAAGGCGACGAUCCGUAGCUGGUUUGAGAGGACGACCAGCCACACUGGGACUGAGACACGGCCCAGACUCCUACGGGAGGCAGCAGUGGGGAAUUUUGGACAAUGGGGGAAACCUCAAUCCAGCCAUCCGCGUGUGCGAUGAAGGCCUUCGGGUUGUAAAGCACUUUUGGCAGGAAAGAAACGGCACGGGAUAAUACCCCGUGCAACUGACGGUACCUGCAGAAUAAGCACCGGCUAACUACGCCAGCAGCCGCGGUAAUACGUAGGGUGCAAGCGUUAAUCGGAAUUACUGGGCGUAAAGCGUGCGCAGGCGGUUCGGAAAGAAAGAUGUGAAAUCCCAGAGCUUAACUUUGGAACUGCAUUUUUAACUACCGAGCUAGAGAGUGUGUCAGAGGGAGGUGGAAUUCCGCGUGUAGCAGUGAAAUGCGUAGAUAUGCGGAGGAACACCGAUGGCGAAGGCAGCCUCCUGGGAUAACACUGACGCUCAUGCACGAAAGCGUGGGGAGCAAACAGGAUUAGAUACUCCGGUAGUCUACGCCUAAACGAUGUCAACUAAUGUUGGGCCUCGGGCUCGGUAGCGCAGCUAACGCGUGAAGUUGACCGCCUGGGAGUACGGUCGCAAGAUUAAAACUCAAAGGAAUUGACGGGGACCUCGCACAAGCGGUGGAUGAUGUGGAUUAAUUCGAUGCAACGCGAAAAACCUUACCUACCCUUGACAUGUCUGGAAUCCCGAAGAUUUGGGAGUGCUCGCAAGAGAACCGGAACACAGGUGCUGCAUGGUUGUCGUCAGCUCGUGUCGUGAGAUGUUGGGUUAAGUCCCGCAACGAGCGCAACCCUUGUCAUUAGUUGCUACGAAAGGGCACUCAGCCGAGACUGCCGGGGACAAACUGGAGGAAGGUGGGGAUGACGUCAAGUCCUCAUGGCCCUUAUGGGUAGGGUUUGGCCACGUCAUACAAUGGUCGGGACAGAGGGUCGCCAACCCGCGAGGGGGAGCCAAUCCCAGAAACUCGAUCGUAGUCCGGAUCGCAGUCUGCAACUCGACUGCGAAGUCGGAAUCGCUAGUAAUCGCGGAUCAGCAUGUCGCGUGGUGAAUACGUUCCUGGGUCUUGUACACACCGCCUGUCACACCAUGGGAGUGGGUUUUACCAGAAGUAGUUAGCCUCAAUCGUAAAGGGGAGGGUUGUGAUUACCACGGUAGGAUUCAUGACUGGGGUGAAGUCGUAACAAGGUAG